Molecule: small nuclear RNA, 315 nt
Filed under: Erinaceus europaeus (western European hedgehog)
Lineage: Eukaryota; Metazoa; Chordata; Mammalia; Eulipotyphla; Erinaceidae
Description: 7SK RNA
Rfam family: 7SK RNA
About the family: 7SK was discovered as an abundant small nuclear RNA in the mid-70s but a possible function has only recently been suggested. Two independent studies have found that 7SK RNA binds the CDK9/cyclin T complex (known as elongation factor P-TEFb). P-TEFb activates transcription by phosphorylating the C-terminal domain of RNA polymerase II.
Source: Rfam by way of RNAcentral
GGAUGUGAGGGCGAUCUGGCUGCGACAUCUGUCACCCCAUUGAUCGCCAGGGUUGAUUCGGCUGAUCUGGCUGGCUAGGAGGGUGUCCCCUUCCUCCCUCACCGCUCCAUGUGCGUCCCUCCCGAAGCUGAGCGCUCGGUGGAAGAGGACGGCCUUCCCCGAAUAGAGACAGACUGGUCUUCGGUCAAGGGUAUACGAGUAGCUGCGCUCCCCUGCUAGAACCUGCAAACAAGCUCUCAAACUGGAUUUGAACCAUGAGACAGUCUGCUGAACCUACUGAUAUGCGGGGCUAGACAAUUUCUUCUUCCUUUCUUU